CUCAGAGUAGUUAGGACAAGACCACGGGAGAGAGUUUAUUCAUAUGGGAGAGGAAGGAAGGUGUGUGCUGUAAUCUAUUUAAAAACAAACAGCAUAGCAGCUUCAGAACAGAAGAUGGGAGGGGGGAUGUAAAAGAACAAAGGGAAACAAGUUAGAACAUUACGUUUAGUCACCUAUAUCUGCCGAGGAGUGAAGAUGGAGGGGCCAACAUAUUCCGGCAAGAUCCACAGGCUCUGAAAAGAAAAUUGACGCUCAAGCUGGUGACCCCAAGAUGGAGACAGCUAGGCUGAAAUGGCAUCUCCAAAAUAAGAGGACCAAAGUGGGCCAUGAGGAGGGGGUCUUGGAAAGAGAAGGAAGGAUCCAUCCAGGGGGCAUUUCAACAGACAUAACACGACAUCCAUUCAUUUCAUACAGAAUUGUUAAUUUGGCUCUUCCCUUGCACAAAUGAAAAGUUGGAAAGUUUCAGCCUAAAAUGAGUGCAACUGAGGCCAGAGUUUAAUUUUUGGACAGGCUCAACAUUUUCCGUGCCUGACUCAGCUGUGUUAAGGUGGAAAAACUGAGGCUCAGAGACCUGGAUCACUCAGCUGGUAAACAGCAGUGCAAGUUUAGGAUACUGUUCUGCUUUCAACUCAUGUACACCAUCACAUGCAUAGAGCAUGCUCAGAUAGCAUGGAAGCCUGGCUUUGAAUAGUUUGGGUAAUUCAUUCAGCUGCAAAAUGGGACAAAUCAUACUGCUCUUUGGGGAGCAAUCAUUGCAAGGAGAACAAGAAAUGAUGUAUACAGUAGGCACUCAAAAACCAGAGCUCUCUCAGUGUCCCUGAUUCCUCUUGAUGACUGGACAACAUAUAGUCCUUAACCCCCAAACGUAAGCCAAGAGACCCUCAAGGCCAACCUAGGAUGCGUGCCCUGCGUUGGGUCCCCCCACAUGAGCCUGUGUAGGAGUCUCGGGCUUCACCAGGCCCCACCCUCCACAGUUGCUUUAUUCUCUGAGUGAUGUUGCCUGUCAGGCACCAUCCUGGCUGGUCACCGAGGCUUUGCAGGGGCCUCCAGUCCUUCUGGUGCCCGGUACCCCGGGGCUGACACCUUGAUAGCUGCGCCACUGCUCUCUCAUUACCUAGCGGGAGGGUCACCUUUCUGACAGACGGCUUUGAAUUCUUUAUUAAAGAUUUUUUUUUUCAUAGAAAAGACAGAUUACUUUACAGUUCUGACAUGCUCUACUUAUUAUGACAUGAAACAGCAUUCUUGUUUCUUUUGCUUGGGGACACGUAACUGCUGCCUUUGGCUCAUGCCAAUAUAUCAUGUCACUAUGAUGUACUGGUUAUUUGGUUGGACCUUCUAUAACCUUUUCACAUUCAUUCAUUCAUUCAUUCAUUCACUCAACGAUGCAUUUGACUAUCCACUGUGAACCUAGCACUCUGCAAGGCAUUCAUUGGAUUAAAAAAUACAUUUCUAUUCAGUCCUUGAUCUUGAGGACUUCUCAGUCUAGUAGGCAAGGCAACAGUGUAAAGAAGAUAAAUGUUUAAAGUGGUAAGCGAAACAAAAGAGGUAUGUGUUGUACCUGGCAGGAUGGAAUUCAGAAUUAGUAGUGGACCUGCAGAGUGGGGUACCUGAUUCACUCUGUGUGGUGAUGGGCAGGGUAGCAGCAGAGGAUGAAGACUGGAUUUUGUUGGAGUAUGCUGUAAUCUGUGUGCAGGGGAUGGAAGAGGACUGAGCAUCUAUGACUGAAAUAAGCUGAUGAUUCUCUGAUCCAGAAGACGGCCUGGAUGCCCUUUUAUGACCCUGAGUUACUUUGGCCCUGAUAUCUCAAAGCCACCACUAAGUAUCUGAAUGUAUUAGCAGAAAUCUGUGGAAGAGGGAGUCACUAACCCUACUGGGAGUAGGGGUGGAGGUGGUAUCCCAGAAAAUGUGCCAUUUGAAUAGGGCAUAAAGUAUUUAGAGAGGCUCCCCUUGUGGGGAAGGGAAGUGAGGGCUUUCUGAGAAGAGCAAGGGUGAAUCUGACACCCUUGGAGAAGGCUAAUGAUGUGGUUGGAGCAGAGCACAGGGGAGAUGAGGUGGGGGAGGAAAGGUGAGGUUUGAGGGCACUUUGGGGCCAUUUGAAUGCUGGGCCAGGGAAUCUAGACCCUCUGCAGUGGGGCUUGCUGGGUUGUGGCCGAUUUAUGCAGCGAGGCAGUCUGGUAGAGUCUACACUAUAGAUGCGUCUCCCUGGGAACAGUAGAGGACUGCAGGGGGCUGGACUGAGAGCUCAGAUACAGGAGGCAAAGGGACAAAUGAGGCUGCUGCAACCACCAGAGAGAGACUGUGAGGCCUUCCUCAGGUUUCAUCCAACAGAACAGUCUGUACCCCUGCCCAAGCUGGUACCCAUGCCUCUCACCAGAUGCCCCAGCACAUAUUCAGAGAAAGAAACAAGGAAAAGGCCAAGAAUGAAUGAGUGUCUUAAAUGAAACCAGAUGUGUUCAAUGCUCCAGCACCUAGUAGAAUCUGAAGUGCACAUACUUGGAAUAAACACACAUAAAGACAUGAGAAGCAAGGAAGUGUAGAGUGAGGGUGAGUGUCUAGUCAAAGGGGCUGUGAAGAUGUUGUCUGUUCUUUCUGCAGUGCUAAUGUCUCUCUUGUGCCCAGGCGGGUGUAAAGCAGGGGUUCAUGACUUAACGCAUCCUCUCUAUAAGAACCUCUGCUCCCAUUCGUGAAGUUGCUGUUACGGUUCAUCAUGCGUGAUGCUCAGGGUACCACACACAUCGCCUUAGUUCAUCUUUACAACAACUACAAAGCAGGCUUUAUUGGCCCUGAGGUUGUGAGAGCUUAGGGAUUUGCCCAAGGUCACAGUAUGGUAAGUGUGACAUUGUGAUUUGAACUCCAGUCUGUCCAACUCUAAAGCCUUCUGCAUUAGUGAGUUCACUACUGAGGACAGAAGGUCCAUCAUUAUAGGAUAAGAAAUGCAUGCAAGUUGUUAACAUCACCUCCCUUUCUGCACAAAGACCCCGAUCCAGAGCCUUUACAUACCAAUGCGGACUGAAAAAUCAGACUUGGGGUAAGGAAGGAAAUGGUGGGAAAGAGAAAAAGAAGAAUACAAUAUCUACCUCCAAUUUUUGUUUUGGGUUUGUGUAAGCUCAUUAUCUCCUUUGGGUGUAAGAUUUUUCUUCAA
Molecule: long non-coding RNA, 3142 nt
Organism: Hippopotamus amphibius kiboko
Lineage: Eukaryota; Metazoa; Chordata; Mammalia; Artiodactyla; Hippopotamidae
Exons: 5
Source: RefSeq, a predicted model, not a curated record